This is a non-coding RNA of Poecilia reticulata (guppy), 863 nucleotides long. The record is from RefSeq and is a predicted model, not a curated record. NCBI's taxonomy places the organism in Eukaryota, Metazoa, Chordata, Actinopteri, Cyprinodontiformes, Poeciliidae.
AUCUCGAAAAAACACGCGUAUGUUUAGGAUAUGAUCCGUAUUAUCUUGGUAAAAAGAAGACUUAUAAUCUUGAGGAUUUACCCGGUAUCUAGGCGAUUAACGUAACUAACUGGAGCUGCAGACCUCAUAUUACACAACGAGCCAGAAGAAAGCUUUCAAAAGCCCGGAGAAUACAAUCAUUUAGUUUCAAGUUGGCUCAAGCAUUUAGGAUCAAAAGAAGCAUUAGAUGGCUGUCGACUUGUUUCUGCCAGACUUCAGGUAAACCCUAAAGGACAGUGUUCACCAGUUGGUGUUUUAUCUCUGAAAAAGCAUCUCGUUGUGAAAAGCAAAAAUGGCACCGGGAUAUCUUUCUAUUCCAUGGAUGGUUGCAUGAUGUCAGAUGGAUGGGUUCAUGGAAGAAUGACAGGCAGCUGGACGGGUGAAUCGACUGACACAAGGAUUGAUGGAUUAAUGAAUGGAUUCAUGAAGGAUAGGUAAGUGGAUGGAUGGAUGGAAGUAACUUUAAGGUGGAAAUGUCAUGAAAACAGAACUGUGCACUACAUGCUCCUUUUUCUUUAUGCUUUCUCAGACUGUCUAAUUGUAAUCAGGACGUUAGUCAAACUUGUCCCUACUCAUGCUCUUUGCAUUAAAUGUAAAUACCUGCUAUAGAGAUACAUGAAAAACUGCUUCUGUAAUAAAAAGAACAAAAAGCACGAGUAAAAGUCAAAUAAGUAGUAGUAAUUUUACAAGUUGAAUAUUUUUAGCUAAUUGCAAAGAUCAGUAGACUCUCAUGUUAAACUGCAACUUGGCUAAUAAAGAUGUGUGUAUACUAUAAUUCAGACAUCAGACUGAUAGCUUGGCAGCAUGAGGUGCCCAACGAGCCA